UUUUUUCUCUGCCUUCCUGUGUUUGUGUCUUGGUGGUUGUGUGUUUUCUCGGCAGGCUGGGCGGAGUCGAAGGGGAGAGGACUUUCUCGCGCUGGCAGGUGCUACUCAUCAGCUCAUCAGCGGAGCACCUGAAAUACCAGCGUCUCACAGAUCUCCAGCGCCAGAUGAUUCAUCCUAGUGCGUUCCCUCUUCGACUCCAGCCUCCAGCGUCUCACGAGCCACACCAGCCAUAACCCUCUCCGGCUUCACCACAGAGCCCAGUUCUUUUCCUACGAGCACCAACACUGGGAAAACCUUCACCGGGAAGAAGCACCUCUAGCACCGUCACCGGAUUCCUCCACGCCUUCCUCCCCAGCACUACCUCGGUGGCACUUCCCCCUCCUCGGAUCCCGGCACGGACAAACCUCCACCUGCACCCCUCUCGACUGACACUCCUGCGGCUGGUUCCUGUCCCUGGUGACCCCCACUCCCUCACCCUGAUUAAUAAAACCCUUUUUCCUUAUAA
Stegastes partitus (bicolor damselfish) is the source of this 505-nucleotide long non-coding RNA. RefSeq lists it as uncharacterized. NCBI's taxonomy places the organism in Eukaryota, Metazoa, Chordata, Actinopteri, Pomacentridae. The transcript is spliced from 2 exons. The record is from RefSeq and is a predicted model, not a curated record.